This 333-nucleotide ribosomal RNA is filed under the name uncultured bacterium. RNAcentral's name for it is "bacterial SSU rRNA". It matches the Rfam family "Bacterial small subunit ribosomal RNA", at positions 144 to 507 of the family's 1533-position model. The record is from RNAcentral.
UAGCCUCGGGAAACUGGGAGUAAUACCGUAUGUGCCCUUCGGGGGAAAGAUUUAUCGCCUUUUGGAUUAGCCCGCGUUGGAUUAGGUAGUUGGUGGGGGUAAUGGCCUACCCAAGCCGACGAUCCGAUAGCNGGUUUGAGAGGAUGAUCAGCCACACUGGGACUGAGACACGGCCCAGACUCCUACGGGAGGCAGCAGUGGGGAAUCUUAGACAAUGGGGGAAACCCUGAUCUAGCCAUGCCGCGUGAGCGAUGAAGGCCUUAGGGUUGUAAAGCUCUUUCAGCUGGGAAGAUAAUGACGGUACCAGCAGAAGAAGCCCCGGCUAACUCCGUG